Molecule: long non-coding RNA, 1381 nt
Organism: Canis lupus familiaris (dog)
Lineage: Eukaryota; Metazoa; Chordata; Mammalia; Carnivora; Canidae
Exons: 9
Source: RefSeq, a predicted model, not a curated record
AAGGACCUGAGGAUACUUCAGAAGGAGAAACAUCUGCUUUGGGACCAGAUGACCGCAGGCCAACCUCAUGACCAGUCAUCAUUAAAACACCCAUUAAUUUAGAUCACCACUCAUUGCAUUAUGGGGUUAGAUGGCACACUGGCUUGGAAGGGGUGGAUAUGAACGUGUUUAUGUGUGUGCGCUGUUGGGGAUUUGCUGUCUUGAAUUCAAUUUGAUUGAGCAAUAGGACAGAAGCCUCUGUACCCCUGGCUGCACUUUCCUGCAGGAAGGACGUCCCCUCAACCUAUAGGAAUGUAUUUGGUGCCUUGCCAUCUCUUUACAUGUAUGUGUGUCUGGGUUUAAUUACAAACUACCCUUCCCCUCAGGAACUUGGGAUGCUUCCUCUUAUUGGGGCUAUAAUGAAUCCAGCUACUAUGAGCAUUCUUGGAUGUGUAUUCAGGGCUAUCAUGGUGGAUGUGAAGUGGUAUUGUGGACUUUCCAUUACCGUUACACAAAGCUUGAAAACAGAGAAGUCCACCAACUAAUUUCCUGAACAAUUAACUUUUGUUGCUGCCUUGGUAAGGAGUCCCCUCUAAAGCCCAGACUAACCAGUGUCCAGGCGGUGUUCUUGGUGUGUGGCCAUCCUCUCUGACAAGAUAACAGGCCCGCUGUCCCAGCCCACCACUACCCAGCAAAGAAGGAAAUGAGCAUCCGAAUUCUUAAACUGAAGACUAACUCAUGCAGAAGGCUAGAUCGGAAAUUCUGAAUAAAAGAAUGAGUCUUCAGCUGACACCAGUUACUGUAAGGAAUUAACCAAGGAAAGUAUCUGUGAGACAGGGACGGGGAAGAUGUUAUCACUGCCAUCUUGCAUAUGAGAUUCAGAAAUUUAAGGGACUUGGCUCGAGGUCUACCAGCUAAAAUCUUCUGGCCAGGAUAUUUUCUUCCAGCAGAUCUAACUAGGCAGAGUUCGUAGCAGCGGGCAAAAAAUGGAAGCACAGCAGAGUCUAAGUCUCCUCUAAUACUGGCUCUGGCCCUGAUCAUGUUACUUGCUUUGGCCAAUGGGAUGACAACAAACAUGGUGCAAGAUGACACUUGAAGACUACUUGGUUAUUGGGGCUUGCCCUUGCUUCUGCACUUGGAACCCUGACACCACCAGAUCAAUGAGCCAGGCUAGCCUGCUGGAUGAUGGAAGACACAUGGCCCUGAGAAUCCCUUGCUCCAGCCAAGAGCCAGAUAUGUGAGUGAGGCCAUCAAAUGCUGGCUGACUACACACACAUAAGGAAACUCUACUACAUAAAUGAGCCUGCCCAAGACCAGCAAAAGAACUACCCAGAUGAAUCUAAUCAAAACUGCUGACUUACAAUGUCAUGAGCUAAUAAACUAUUGUUGUUUUAAUCCAAUA